GCACCCGGAUUGAUAGCAGAAUUGUCAAAAAUGGUGCACCACCACGGACCGCAUAUUUCACUCGGACGUAACGACAUCCGGUAGGACAGCAGGAAUUUGAUUUUCAUAAGGUACGGCAGCAAGAAUGAUGGCAGUGAACGGCCAGGUAUGGCUCUAAAAUAUGUAAUCUUGUAAUAACUUUGAAUGGUCCUUUAAAAUAUAUGAUGAAUAUAGUGAUAAAUUAUAACAAUCAAGAGAUACAUACACAAGAAAUUUGAUUAAAACUACCGCAUCCUCUGGUUCCUUGAGAUGGGCACUGCACUUCUGCUUCUCGGAUAGAGCGGAACUCCAACAACAGCAUCUCCAGCGAAUUCCAUGGGUCGAUCUUCAUCGAUUCUUCCAAACGCUGCCACACUUUGACUCCUGGGCACAACACCAGACGGAGGAACGUCCGGGGCUAGUUUCUUCUGCGAUGCAGCACGAACAAGCUCCGCGUAGUCUUGAUCACUUGUAUGGGUAUGGACGCUACUGUUCCUGGACAUAGCCAUGCCAGCCGGAUAUACACCUCCGAAGUUUCUAUUGUCUGCGCAACGAAUCAUGUUGUUGAUGUAUAAAUCUUUUACACGUCCUAAUGCUCGGAUCGGGGCCUUCAGGUACCAUGAAAACUUGUUCUUUCUCUGCCGUUCUUGGCUGCCGUUGGGAUUUGCGGCCAUCGAUGAUAUGUAUAUGGACGG
RNAcentral lists this long non-coding RNA (713 nucleotides) under Zostera marina. RNAcentral describes it as "long non-coding RNA (ZMAR_LNC006186)". Lineage: Eukaryota; Viridiplantae; Streptophyta; Magnoliopsida; Alismatales; Zosteraceae. The record is from RNAcentral.